UACGUAGGGUGCGAGCGUUAAUCGGAAUUACUGGGCGUAAAGCGUGCGCAGGCGGUGAUGUGAGACAGGUGUGAAAUCCCCGGGCUUAACCUGGGAACUGCAUUUGUGACUGCAUCGCUGGAGUGCGGCAGAGAGGGAUGCGGAAUUCCAGGUGUAGCGGUGAAAUGCGUAGAUAUCUGGAGGAACACCGGUGGCGAAGGCGGCAUCCUGGACCAAUACUGACGCUGAGGAGCGAAAGCCAGGGGAGCAAACGGG
This 255-nucleotide ribosomal RNA is filed under the name uncultured bacterium. RNAcentral describes it as "partial 16S ribosomal RNA". It matches the Rfam family "Bacterial small subunit ribosomal RNA", at positions 524 to 776 of the family's 1533-position model. The record is from RNAcentral.